AAAAUAUAUACAACAAAUAAAGGAAAAAGAUAUAAAAUACGAAAGAUGAAAAAUAAAAUAAAAGUUAAUAAAAAAUAAAAAUAAAAAUAAAAGAAUGUGCACAAAAAAAGAAGUUUGAGGUUUUAAAAUUAUAAAGAAGAAAUAAAAAAAAGUGCAAACAAAAAGAUUUAAGAAAAAGCAAGAAAAAAAUAAAAAAUGAAAAUACAAAAUAUAUAAAAUAAAAUUUGAGAAAAAAAUGAGAAAAAGAAGAAAAAAAUAAAAAAUGAAGAGGCAAAAAUAUGAAAUAAAACAAAAAGAAAAAAAUUUAUAGAAAAUUUUAAAACAAAAAAAAAGAGUGAACAAAAAAAUGAAAGCACAUAAAAAAAAAAAGAAGAAAAAUUUGAAAGGAGAAAAAGUUAAUGAAAAAUUAUAAAAAUGCAAUAAAAAAUAACCGAGAAUGAUAAAAUAAAAAAAGAAAAGAAAAAAAGAUAGAAAAAUAAAAAAUUUCAAAACUUAAUAAAAAUUUAUGAAACUAUAAAAAAAGAAAAAAAAUUAAAGCAAAAGAAAAAAGAUAAAUAAAGCACAAAAAAGAAAAAUACAAAAUACAACAAAAAAUAUAAAAAGUAAGAAAAUAAAAAAGGAAAAAAAUUGAAGAAAAAUUUCAAAAAUGAAAUGGAAUGACAAAAUGAAAAAAAAAAUAGUUUAAAAAGGACAAAAAAUUGAAAAACAUAUAAGACCUAAUAAUAAAAAUAUAAAAAGUCAGACAAAAAAUUAAAAAAGAGAAAAGUUAAUGCAAAAUAAAAAAAAGUAUGAGAAUUUAAAAACGCAAAUAAGAAAUGAAAGGAAAUUUGUGAAAAAAGAAAUAAGAAAAGCAACAAAAGAAUAAAAAUGAAAAGACAAGAGGUUUGGAAUAAAAAACAGAAAAAUAAAAAUUUUUAAAAUAACGAAAAAAUUAAAACAAGUAAAAAUGAAAGCAUAUGCAAAAAAAGCAAAAAGAAGGAAAAUUUUGAAGGGAAAAAGUUAUUAAAAAAUUACAAAGUAGGACAAAAAUAGCAAAAAAAAUAAAUAAAAUAAAAAAGAUUCAAAAAAUAAAAAAAAAAAAAUUUUGAACUUUAUAAAAAUUUUUAAAAUAUAAAUAAAAAUAAAUGGAAAAAUAAAUUAAGAUAAAAUAUUAAUAUAGAAGAAAAAAUUAAAUAAAAUACCAAAAAAGCAAAAAAUAAAAAAGUAAGAUAUUAAAAAAUGUGCGAAUAAAAAAUAGAAAAAAAUUUUAGUUCAGAAUAUACAAAGAAAAACAAAAAAAAAAUAUAACAAAUAUAGGAAAAAGAUAUAAAAAAAUCAAAGAUAAAAAAUAAAAUAAAAGUUAAUGAAAAAUAUAAAUAAAAACAAAAGAAAGUGCACAAAAAAAAGUCUAAUAAUUUAAAAAUGCAAAUAAGAAAUGAAAGGAAAUUUGUGAAAAAAUAAGAAAAGCAAGAAAAGAAUAAAAAUGAAAAGACAAAAGAUUUGGAAUAAAAAAACAAAAAAGAAAUAUAAAAAAUUUUAAAACAACGAAAAAAUUAAAACAAGUAAAACUGAAAGCAUAUGAAAAAGAAAAAAAGGCAAAAAGAAAGAAAAUUUUGAAGGGAAAACGUUAUUGAAAAAUUACAACAUAGAACAAAAAAAAUGAAAAUGAAAAAAUAAAAAAGAUUAAAAAAUUUUAAAAUUUAAAUUUUAUAAAAGUUUUUAAAAAUAUAAUAUCUAUAACAUUAUAAAAUUUUUAUAAAAAAACAAAGUAAGAGGAAAAAUAAAAUAAGAGAAAAUAUUAAAGCAAAAGGAAAAAGAAAAAAAAUUAAAAAUAAACAAAAGCACAAAAUAGAAAAAAUAACGAGUCAAAAGAAAAAAAAUUAGAAAAAUAAAAAAAGUAAUAAAAAUUUCAAAAAUGAAGAAAAAAUGACAAAAUAGAAAAAAAAAAUUAGUUUAUAAAAUACGAACAAAAAAUAUAACAAAUAAUAAGAAAUAAUGGUAUAAAAAAUGAAAAGGGAUUACAAAAUGGAAAAAAUUAAUUUAGAAAACAUAAGGAAAAAAAGUAAUAAGAAAAAAAAUGAAAGAUAAAAAAAUUAACAAAGGGAAAAAUUUAAUACAAAAUAAAAACAAGACAAGGAAGGGCAAAAAAAAGUUAAAACAAGAAAAAAAUAAAAAAUGAAGAGUCAAAAUUAUGAGAUAAAACAAAAAGAAAAAAAGUUUAUAGAAUAUUUUGAAACAAAGAAAAAAGUGAAAACAAAAAAAUAUGAAAGCACAUGAAAAAAUAAGUAAAAAAAAAGAAGAAAAAUUUGAGAGGAGAAAAAUUUAAAGAAAAAUUAUAAAAAUGCAAUAGAAAAGAACCAACAAUGAUAAAAUAAAAAAAUACAAUAAAAAUAUAAAAAGUAAGAAAAUAAAAAAGACAAAAAUGAAAAAAAAAAAAGUUCAAAAAAUACAAAAAAAUUGAAAAACAUAUAAGACAUAAUGAGAAAAUAAUAUAAAAAGUCAAAGACAAAAAAUUAAAAAAGAGAAAAGUUAAUUCAAAGUAAAAAUGAAAAACAAAGGAGAAAAUGCAAAAAAAAAAAAAGAAAAAAUUAUGAGAAUUUAAAAACGCAAAUAAGAAGUGAAGGGAAAUUUGUGGAAAAAAAAGCGUAAAGAAAUAUAAAUAAUUUUAAAACAUUGAAAGAAUUAAAACAAAUAAAAAUGAAAGCAUAUGAAAAAAAGGCAAAAAGAAAGAAAAUUUUGAAGGGAAAAAGUUAUUGAAAAUUUAUAAAAUAGAACAAAAAAUAGCAAGAAAAAUAGACAAAAAAAUAAGAAAAUGAAAAAAUAAAAAAUUUUGAACUUUAUAAAAAAUUUUAAAAUAUAAAUAAAAAAUAAAUGAAAAAAUAAAUUAAGAGAAAAUAUUAAUAUAAAAGAAAAAUUAAAUAAAAUACGAAAAAAGGAAAAAAUAAAAAUAAACAAAAACAAAAAGUAACAAAGCAAGAAAAUAAAAAAUUUACGAAUCAAAAAAUAUAAAAAGACAAAAUGAAUAAAAAUUUCAAAUACAAAAUGGAAAAAACUUUUAGUUUAGAAUGUGCAAAGGAAAACAAAAAAUAUAUAUAUAACAAAUAAAGGAAAAAGAUGAAAAAUAAAAUAAAAGUUAAUAAAAAAUACAAAUAAAAAUAAAAGAAUGUGCACAAAAAAGAAGUUUGAGGUUUUAAAAUUAUAAAGAAGAAAUAAAAAAAAGUGCAAACAAAAAGAUUUAAGAAAAAGCAAGAAAAAAAUAAAAAAUGAAAAUACAAAAUAUAUAAAAUAAAAUUUGAGAAAAAAAUGAGAAAAAGAAGAAAAAAAAUAAAAAAUGAAGAGGCAAAAAUAUGAAAUAAAAAAAAAAGAAAAAAAUUUAUAGAAAAUUUUAAAACAAAAAAAAAGAGUGAAAAAAAAAAUGAAAGCACAUAAAAAAAAGAAGAAAAAUUUGAAAGGAGAAAAAGUUAAUGAAAAAUUAUAAAAAUGCAAUAAAAAAUAACCGAGAAUGAUAAAAUAAAAAAAGAAAAGAAAAAAAGAUAGAAAAAUAAAAAAUUUCAAAACUUAAUAAAAAUUUAUGAAACUAUAAAAAAAGAAAGAAAGAAAAUUAAAGCAAAAGAAAAAAGAUAAAUAAAGCACAAAAAAAGAAAAAAUACAAAAAACAAAAAAUAUAAAAAGUAAGAAAAUAAAAAAGGACAAAAAUUGAAGAAAAAUUUCAAAAAUGAAAUGGAAUGACAAAAUGAAAAAAAAAUAGUUUAAAAAGGACAAAAAAUUGAAAAACAU
This 3756-nucleotide long non-coding RNA is filed under the name Durio zibethinus. Its description in RNAcentral is "long non-coding RNA (DZIB_LNC001775)". The record is from RNAcentral. Lineage: Eukaryota; Viridiplantae; Streptophyta; Magnoliopsida; Malvales; Malvaceae.